AGUGAACGCUGGCGGUAGGCCUAACACAUGCAAGUCGAACGGCAGCACAGUAAGAGCUUGCUCUUACGGGUGGCGAGUGGCGGACGGGUGAGGAAUACAUCGGAAUCUACUUUUUCGUGGGGGAUAACGUAGGGAAACUUACGCUAAUACCGCAUACGGCCUACGGGUGAAAGCAGGGGAUCUUCGGACCUUGCGCGAUUGAAUGAGCCGAUGUCGGAUUAGCUAGUUGGCGGGGUAAAGGCCCACCAAGGCGACGAUCCGUAGCUGGUCUGAGAGGAUGAUCGGCCACACUGGAACUGAGACACGGUCCAGACUCCUACGGGAGGCAGCAGUGGGGAAUAUUGGACAAUGGGCGCAAGCCUGAUCCAGCCAUACCGCGUGGGUGAAGAAGGCCUUCGGGUUGUAAAGCCCUUUUGUUGGGAAAGAAAAGCAGCAGGUUAAUACCCCGCUGUUCUGACGGUACCCAAAGAAUAAGCACCGGCUAACUUCGUG
RNAcentral lists this ribosomal RNA (492 nucleotides) under uncultured bacterium. RNAcentral describes it as "partial 16S ribosomal RNA". It matches the Rfam family "Bacterial small subunit ribosomal RNA", at positions 29 to 507 of the family's 1533-position model. The record is from RNAcentral.